Long non-coding RNA from Daktulosphaira vitifoliae (grape phylloxera), 495 nucleotides. RefSeq lists it as uncharacterized. The transcript has 2 exons. The record is from RefSeq and is a predicted model, not a curated record. Lineage: Eukaryota; Metazoa; Arthropoda; Insecta; Hemiptera; Phylloxeridae.
CUAGAUAAAAUAAUUUUAAUAAAUUAAUGAAAAUAAUUCAAUCUAAUCACAUUGAUUAGUAGAGUAGUUAUAAAGUUGGUUACACCAAAUUAUCAAAUAGCCAUUUGACGAUAAUGUCUGUAAAAUAAAUUAAAAACACUGAUGAUAUUUAGUAAAUUGUAAAAAAUUGAACUACAUAUUUUCACUUGGAUGUUCAAUAAUUGUCUCAAUUUUCUUUAAAGAAAACAACAAUUGUACUUUACAUGAGCUAUUCAAAAAAUUAAUAUCCAUUAACUUAUUAAAUUAUGAAAAAACAAAACAAAAAUCCGUUUUGUAAUUUUGAAAAAAAUUGUAUAAAUUAAUAUAUUUACCAUUCAGUAAAAUUGGUUGCAAGAGCAGCAAUGAAUCCUGGUAUAUUAAAUGAAAGUUCAUUAGAUGAACACAAUGCAAGGCCUACCAUUAUGGGAACUAAAGACAAACUUACUAGAAAACCUGUUUGUUCCCCUACAAAUAAUU